GGGGUGAUUCUUUCACACUUAGCGGCGGACGGGUGAGUAACGCGUGGGCAACCUACCCUGUACAGGGGGAUAACAACGGGAAACCGUUGCUAAUACCCCAUAACACCGAGAAGGGGCAUCUCUUUUCGGUCAAAGAAUUUCGGUACAGGAUGGGCCCGCGUCUGAUUAGCUAGUUGGUAAGGUAAUGGCUUACCAAGGCGACGAUCAGUAGCCGACCUGAGAGGGUGAUCGGCCACACUGGAACUGAGACACGGUCCAGACUCCUACGGGAGGCAGCAGUGGGGAAUAUUGCACAAUGGGGGAAACCCCGAUGCAGCAACGCCGCGUGAGCGAUGAAGGCCUUCGGGUCGUAAAGCUCUGUCCUAAGGGGAAGAUAAUGACGGUACCUUAGGAGGAAGCCCCGGCUAACUACGUGCCAGCAGCCGCGGUAACACGUAGGGGGCAAGCGUUAUCCGGAAUCACUGGGCGUAAAGGGUGCGUAGGCGGCCAAUAAAGUCAGAGGUGAAAGGCUACGGCUCAACCGUAGUAAGCCUUUGAAACUUAUUGGCUUGAGUGCAGGAGAGGAGAGUGGAAUUCCUAGUGUAGCGGUGAAAUGCGUAGAUAUUAGGAGGAACACCAGUGGCGAAGGCGACUCUCUGGACUGUAACUGACGCUGAGGCACGAAAGUGUGGGGAGCAAACAGGAUUAGAUACCCUGGUAGUCCACACCGUAAACGAUGAGUGCUAGGUGUUGGGGGUCGAACCUCAGUGCCGCAGCUAACGCAUUAAGCACUCCGCCUGGGGAGUACGCUCGCAAGAGUGAAACUCAAAGGAAUUGACGGGGACCCGCACAAGCAGCGGAGCAUGUGGUUUAAUUCGAAGCAACGCGAAGAACCUUACCUGGACUUGACAUCCUUCGGACCACUCCUUAACCGGAGUCUUCCCUUCGGGGACUGAGGUGACAGGUGGUGCAUGGUUGUCGUCAGCUCGCGUCGUGAGAUGUUGGGUUAAGUCCCGCAACGAGCGCAACCCUUAUCUUUAGUUGCCAGCAUUUAGGAUGGGCACUCUAGAGAGACUGCCGGGGACAACUCGGAGGAAGGUGGGGAUGACGUCAAAUCAUCAUGCCCCUUAUGUUCAGGGCUACACACGUGCUACAAUGGCCGAUACAACGGGCAGCGAAAGAGUAAUCUGGAGCUAAUCCUUUAAAGUCGGUCCCAGUUCGGAUUGUGGGCUGAAACUCGCCCUCAUGAAGUUGGAGUUGCUAGUAAUCGCGGAUCAGAAUGUCGCGGUGAAUGCGUUCC
RNAcentral lists this ribosomal RNA (1279 nucleotides) under uncultured bacterium. Its description in RNAcentral is "bacterial SSU rRNA". It matches the Rfam family "Bacterial small subunit ribosomal RNA", at positions 72 to 1374 of the family's 1533-position model. The record is from RNAcentral.